CCCUUAGAUGUUCUGGGCCGCACGCGUGCUACACUGAACGGUUCAAUGGGUAAGGUAGUGCGAAAGCAUGACCUAAUCUCGAAAUCCGUUCGUGCUGGGGAUAGAAGCUUGCAAUUAUCCUUCUUGAACGAGGAAUACCUUGUAAGCGUGAGUCAUCAUCUCACGCUGAAUACGUCCCUGCCCUUUGUACACACCGCCCGUCGCUCCUACCGAUUGAGUGUUCCGGUGAGGCUUUGGGAGAAUGGCCUCAACACGAGUUUAUCGUGUUUUGCCGUUUGAACUUAGUCAAACCUUAUCACUUAGAGGAAGGAGAAGUCGUAACA
This 323-nucleotide ribosomal RNA is filed under the name uncultured eukaryote. RNAcentral's name for it is "partial 18S ribosomal RNA". It matches the Rfam family "Eukaryotic small subunit ribosomal RNA", at positions 1470 to 1796 of the family's 1831-position model. The record is from RNAcentral.